This 433-nucleotide ribosomal RNA is filed under the name uncultured bacterium. Its description in RNAcentral is "partial 16S ribosomal RNA". It matches the Rfam family "Bacterial small subunit ribosomal RNA", at positions 29 to 507 of the family's 1533-position model. The record is from RNAcentral.
AGCGAACGCUGGCGGCAGGCCUAACACAUGCAAGUCGAACGAACUCUUCGGAGUUAGUGGCGGACGGGUGAGUAACACGUGGGAACGUGCCUUUUGGUUCGGAAUAACUCAGGGAAACUUGUGCUAAUACCGAAUGUGCCCUUCGGGGGAAAGAUUUAUCGCCAUUAGAGCGGCCCGCGUCUGAUUAGCUAGUUGGUGAGGUAACGGCUCACCAAGGCGACGAUCAGUAGCUGGUCUGAGAGGAUGACCAGCCACACUGGGACUGAGACAUGGCCCAGACUCCUACGGGAGGCAGCAGUGGGGAAUCUUGCGCAAUGGGCGAAAGCCUGACGCAGCCAUGCCGCGUGAAUGAUGAAGGUCUUAGGAUUGUAAAAUUCUUUCACCGGGGACGAUAAUGACGGUACCCGGAGAAGAAGCCCCGGCUAACUUCGUG